AGAGUUUGAUCCUGGCUCAGGAUGAACGCUAGCGGCAGGCUUAAUACAUGCAAGUCGAGGGGCAGCACGGAUAGCAAUAUCUGGUGGCGACCGGCGCACGGGUGCGUAACGCGUAUGCAACCUACCUUUAACUGAAGAAUAGCCCCGGGAAAUCGGGAUUAAUACUUCAUAACAUUAUGAGAUGGCAUCAUUUUAUAAUUAAAGCUCCGGCGGUUAAAGAUGGGCAUGCGUGACAUUAGUUAGUUGGUGAGGUAACGGCUCACCAAGACUUCGAUGUCUAGGGGUUCUGAGAGGAUUAUCCCCCACACUGGUACUGAGACACGGACCAGACUCCUACGGGAGGCAGCAGUAAGGAAUAAUGGUCAAUGGGCGCAAGCCUGAACCAGCCAUGCCGCGUGCAGGAUGACGGCCCUACGGGUUGUAAACUGCUUUUGUACGGGAAAAAACCUUCGCUCGUGAGCGAAGCUGAUGUACCGUAAGAAUAAGGAUCGGCUAACUCCGUGCCAGCAGCCGCGGUAAUACGGAGGAUCCAAGCGUUAUCCGGAUUUAUUGGGUUUAAAGGGUGCGCAGGCGGAAUAAUAAGUCAGUGGUGAAAGCCUACAGCUUAACUGUAGAACUGCCAUUGAUACUGUUGUUCUUGAGUACAGUUGGAGUGGGCGGAAUGUAUCAUGUAGCGGUGAAAUGCUUAGAUAUGAUACAGAACACCGAUCGCGAAGGCAGCUCACUAAGCUGUAACUGACGCUCAUGCACGAAAGCGUGGGGAUCAAACAGGAUUAGAUACCCUGGUAGUCCACGCUGUAAACGAUGAUUACUCGAUGUUGGCGAUACACAGUCAGCGUCUGAACGAAGUAUUAAGUAAUCCACCUGGGGAGUACGGUCGCAAGAUUGAAACUCAAAGGAAUUGACGGGGGCCCGCACAAGCGGAGGAGCAUGUGGUUUAAUUCGAUGAUACGCGAGGAACCUUACCUGGGCUCGAACGUAGAACGACCUUCACUGAAAGGUGAAUUCCCUUCGGGGCGGUCUACGAGGUGCUGCAUGGUUGUCGUCAGCUCGUGCCGUGAGGUGUCAGGUUAAGUCCUAUAACGAGCGCAACCCCUAUCCUUAGUUGCCAUCAGGUAAUGCUGGGAACUCUAAGGAAACUGCCUACGCAAGUAGUGAGGAAGGUGGGGAUGACGUCAAAUCAGCACGGCCCUUACGUCCAGGGCUACACACGUGCUACAAUGGCCGGAACAGAGGGCAGCUACCUGGUGACAGGAUGCAAAUCUCUAAACCCGGUCUCAGUUCGGAUCGAAGUCUGCAACCCGACUUCGUGAAGUUGGAUUCGCUAGUAAUCGCAUAUCAGCCAUGAUGCGGUGAAUACGUUCCCGGGCCUUGUACACACCGCCC
RNAcentral lists this ribosomal RNA (1386 nucleotides) under metagenome. Its description in RNAcentral is "bacterial SSU rRNA". It matches the Rfam family "Bacterial small subunit ribosomal RNA". The record is from RNAcentral.